Oryzias latipes (Japanese medaka) is the source of this 1649-nucleotide long non-coding RNA. RefSeq lists it as uncharacterized. The record is from RefSeq and is a predicted model, not a curated record. NCBI's taxonomy places the organism in Eukaryota, Metazoa, Chordata, Actinopteri, Beloniformes, Adrianichthyidae.
ACGUAUAGCAUGAAUUCGUAGUCCGUAUAAGCGGGAGGAAUAAACGGCGGGCAUGUCACUGCAGACUUGUGAGCGUUAUGGAGCAGAAAUCCAGAUUUGAUGACGAGCUGCAGACUGGAAACACAGAGCGUGAGAGCUGGCUGGUAGUUGAGUCGUAGACUAGAUGUUCUGGCAGUGAAUGGAGCUGCAUGGCAGUAAUAUAUAUCCAGGUGAACAGGUGGAAAAAUUACUCACGUUUAGAAAGAGGACUCCUCUUUCUGCCUUCUCGUAGAUAAAAGAAUUACGAAGAACAGAAUUACGAAGAACCCUAGAGUCGUGAACACUUUCUAGCCAUCCAAUGUUGAUGUUUGUGGAACUAUUGGGGUGGAAGUAUUAAUUGUACAUUAAUAAAGAGAAAAACAUGAUAUCUGAGUAAAGAUAGUGACAGAUACAAAUGGAAAACAACACGUAAUAACGCAAUAACAUGGCAAAAGGCAUAGCAACAACAAGGGAGACAAAUCAUUAUGUAUGUCCUUACCAGUAUUUGUGGUCCACAAUUGCUUGCAAGAUCACAGAAUGCCAUCCCUUGUGAUUAAAGUAAUCCUAAUGGUUCUCAACUGGAGCGAUGACUGGGAUAUGACUCACGUUUAUAGCCCCGGCACACUGAGGGGAAACCCCAUCGAUUUUUAAAUCAUAGAAGUAUGGUUUGGAACUCCUCACCUUCUGGCAGCUUGAUGUACUCGCGCAUCAUCUCAUUUCGUACGGCAUGGCAAAACUCCCGGACUAUUAGGCAUGCUGAUGCCUCACUUAUGCCAAACAGAUGUGCCAGUGUUCGAUAACCAGCUCCUGUUGCGAGCCACCAUAGUCCAACACCAACGCGCUUCUGCACUGAGAUUGCCUGGCGAAAUGUCGGAUCCUCCUAAGAGAGCAUUGGUUCCAACAAUGCGAUCCCACCAGUCUUGAGUCCGUUGCUUCAUCCAAACCUCCCUUUGAACCGAUGUUGCAGAGAUCAUCGCUAAAUUCACCCAGGCUGCAACAAGGGCUCUCCUCUAUUUUCUCCGCCGCCGCACAAGACCAAUGUUUUUGUCAUAGUGCCUCUGGCAGUUUACCUUCCCCCUCCUCUCUUUCCUCUGCUCUGCUGAUUGGAACCGCCUGCCUAUACUCGCCUCAUCACCUGCCUGCCUUCUUAAGGAGAUCCAACCCCAGCAUUCAUCGCCAGUUCGUUACACUCUCCGGUUCCAUUCCACGGGUAUCGCUGGUUCCUCCAUGUCCAGAGCUCUUCGCUCCAUCCUGCUCAGGCCACGGUGUCAUCCUCGUCAUGCUCCGGUCUCGAUCACAGUGGUUUCCUCAAGUCCUCCUCCACGGUCUUUAUCCUCCACGGCACCAUCAUCAUGAACUCCAGCACUGACGCUACCGGCGACCCUUCUGAAUCUACUUACCAUUAUCUUGCAACUAUACGUUAAUUCAUUCUUGGACAUUCGAAAUAAAUCUGUUCCAAGAUUCCCUGGUCUGAGUUUACUUCUGGGUUUCAGCGUCUGGGUCUGGCACGUUGUUGACGUCAUGACAGUUUUGCUGAUAUAAUUGAACGCGACCCAACAGCCACCCAGUCCAAAUCAGUUCGCUACAUUAACGAUGUUAUUAAAAAGAAUCCACAGAAUUAUUGUACUUUG